AUUGAACGCUGGCGGCAGGCUUAACACAUGCAAGUCGGGCGGAGUGAUGGUGCUUGCACUAUCACUUAGCGGCGGACGGGUGAGUAAUGCUUAGGAAUCUGCCUAUUAGUGGGGGACAACAUCUCGGAAGGGAUGCUAAUACCGCAUACGUCCUACGGGAGAAAGCAGGGGAUCACUUGUGACCUUGCGCUAAUAGAUGAGCCUAAGUCGGAUUAGCUAGUUGGUGGGGUAAAGGCCUACCAAGGCGACGAUCUGUAGCGGGUCUGAGAGGAUGAUCCGCCACACUGGGACUGAGACACGGCCCAGACUCCUACGGGAGGCAGCAGUGGGGAAUAUUGGACAAUGGGGGGAACCCUGAUCCAGCCAUGCCGCGUGUGUGAAGAAGGCCUUAUGGUUGUAAAGCACUUUAAGCGAGGAGGAGGCUUACCUAGUUAAUACCUGGGAUAAGUGGACGUUACUCGCAGAAUAAGCACCGGCUAACUCUGUGCCAGCCGCCGCAGUAA
This 503-nucleotide ribosomal RNA is filed under the name uncultured bacterium. Its description in RNAcentral is "partial 16S ribosomal RNA". It matches the Rfam family "Bacterial small subunit ribosomal RNA", at positions 30 to 523 of the family's 1533-position model. The record is from RNAcentral.